Molecule: ribosomal RNA, 822 nt
Filed under: uncultured archaeon
Lineage: Archaea
Description: bacterial SSU rRNA
Rfam family: Archaeal small subunit ribosomal RNA
Source: RNAcentral
UGCGAGUCGAGAGGGUUCGGCCCUCGGCAGACUGCUCAGUAACACGUGGAUAACCUAACCUUAGGUGGAAGAUAACCUCGGGAAACUGAGAAUAAUAUUCCAUAGAUCUAGGAUGCUGGAAUGCAUCUAGAUUGAAAGUUCCGACGCCUAAGGAUGGGUCUGCGGACUAUCAGGUUGUAGUCAGGGUAAAGACCUGACUAGCCUACGACGGAUAUGGGUUGUGAGAGCAAUAGCCCAGAGACGAUAUCUGAGACACGAUAUCGGGCCCUACGGGGCGCAGCAGGCGCGAAAUCUUCACAAUGUGCGAAAGCACGAUGAGGGGAUCCCAAGUGCUGGCACGUAAGUGUCAGCUGUUUCUUAGUCUAAAAAACUGAGAGAGUAAGGGCUGGGUAAGACGGGUGCCAGCCGCCGCGGUAAUACCUGCAGCUCAAGUGGUGGCCGCUAUUAUUGGGCCUAAAACGUCCGUAGCCUGUUUAGUAAAUGCUUGGGUAAAUUGUGUAGCUUAACUAUACGAAUACCGGGUAGACUGCUAAACUUGGGACCGGGAGAGGCUAGAGGUACUCCUGGGGUAGAGGUGAAAUUCUGUAAUCCUAGGGGGACCACCAGUGGCGAAGGCGUCUAGCUAGAACGGGUCUGACGGUGAGGGACGAAGCCCUGGGGCGCAAACCGGAUUAGAUACCCGGGUAGUCCAGGGUGUAAACGCUGCUUGCUUGAUGUUAGUUGGGCUCCGAGCCCAACUAGUGUCGGAGAGAAGUUGUUAAGCAAGCUGCCUGGGAAGUACGGUCGCAAGACUGAAACUUAAAGGAAUUGGCGGGGGAGCAC